AGGGAGUUAUGCAUAGAGCUUGAGAUGCUCUGCCGACCCCUAUGACUUCACUCAGACGUGGGUGGAUGGAGCUCCCAGACGUGGGAGACUUAUGUUUGGUGGUCAUUCAGAAAUGGAUGUACCAUAUUAUGUUAUGGUCCCACUUCACCUUCUGUAUGCUUGAUAUGGUAUCCAGAGCUUUGGUUAUGUGUUUCUAUACAUGCUUUGGAUAUGAAUGAUAUGAAUGCAAUGUCAAAUUCGACAUUUAAGCUUCUGUUUCGUAUUCAUCUUUGAAAUGCUCCGAAAUGGUCCAUACACCAUUGAUAUAUUCCGAAAUAUUUCAUUUAUCAUUGAUAUGCUUCGAAACAUUUUGUACGCCUUUGAUAUGCUCCAAAAUGUUUCAUUUGUUAUUGAUAUGCUUCAAAAUGUUCCAUAGGUUGUUGAUAUGCUCCGGAACAUUUCUUAUGCUAUUGAUAUGCUCCAAUUACUCUAAGCUCCAUCUGUUAGGAACCAAAUAUGUUUGAUUGAGUUGACAUUUGUGAUUCUGCCCUAAUGAGAUUACGUCUAUGAAUUAUUAUAUUCUUCCUUGCAUUUUGAAACCUUAUUUGUUUGGAAAUUGCCCUCUUUUACCAUGGAUAUGUUAGUCACUUGCUGAGCUUUAUAUGCUCACCCCGUUGUUGUAUAAAUUUUUCAGGAUAGCUUGUCGCUCGCUUAAAUGUUAAGGUUGGGCUGAGGCAGUGGAAAGCUAAAAGAUUUUGGGCAGAUCUUUAUUAGUAUAUAUGUUUUUGUUGUAUAAGCACACUCUGCAUCUAAUGAAAUGUUGACGAUGAAUCUAAACUUGUGGAUUUUGUAUAAGUUUAAAGGACCUCUCGUGUCUAGGAUUCUGGAAUGUUAAGUUUAAAUCGUGUAAUGAUAUGAACUUAUGGUAAAUGUUGGUUUUGUGAUUGUAUAGACUCCUAUACUUGUGAAUUUAUGUUGUAGUUAUUAUUUUGGUGAGUUGGGUUCAAAUUUUAUGAAUAAUCGAGCGAUGUGUUGUAUGUUUAUGAACUGCAUAGGGUUUAUAAAUUUAUAGAUUAUAGAGGUGAAAUUUUGAUCUGAAUAUUUUCUUAGUGACCUCAAAUGUGUGAUUAGAUCCUGGAUGGAUUUGUGUUGAAAAAAUUUUAAUAUCAUGGAUAUUAUUUGAGGGGGCAUGAUAGAGGUGGUAUCAGAGCAUGGUUUGAGGAUCACUGAAAUAUUUGAUAUGUUGACGUGCGAAAUAUAUUGAGGCCUAAUGAACUAUAGUGAUUGGUGAAAAUUUUCUUUGAUGCAUUUUAGGAAUCUGGGAUGAUGAGGACAUUUGGUCCUCCUAUUUCCUUUGUUUCUGAUUAAUUAAGGGGAAUGAAAGGAUUGAUCGGGGAUAUUGAAUCAGAGUGGCGCAGCAGAAGCAUGAUGAACCUAAUUUCAUUGGUGGUAGAAAAAUGGAUGAUGCAAACAGAGAAGAUAUUUGGUGUACAAAAUUGUUCUGAUGAUCAAAAGAUUUCUUUUGCCACCUUAUAUUGGAAGUAGAGGCCGAUCAUUAAUGGGAACAAUGAAAAGAAUUUUUGAAGAUCAGUGGCAAGAAUGAUAAGGACAAGUUUACCAAUAAAAAUAUGAUUGGAAAUGAAUCAGAAAGUAAUAACAAGAAGGUCAAGACAUUUGGAUUUGAAAUGGGAAGUCACCACAAAAGACUCAAUUAUGUGUGAAUUACAAGUUAAAUUAUGAAACAAGUUUGUGUUUUCGGGUGACUAAAGUUUAUUUUGCUUGUGGAAAGUUGGAUCAUAAAAUAAAAGACUGCCCCUUGAACAAGAAAAAAGAGUCACUGCCUCAUAAAUCAUCAGCCCAUGUCAGAGUGUAUGCUAUCACUAAAUAUGAUUCUAAAGCUUCUGAAUUAGUGAUCAAAGGUAUUUUGCAUGUUUAUGAAAGAAUACAAAUAUUUGUUGGACCAUGGGUCCUAUCUACGAUUUGAUUCGUAACAUGUUGCUUAUCACUUGGGUAUUCAACCUAGACCACUACAUUAUGUGAUAUAUGUAAAUACAAUCGUUGGAGAUUCUUUGAUAACGAACUUGAAUCUGGUCCUCUUAUCUGAUUCUUAUUGGAGAACUUGAACUUUUUGCUGAUUUAGUUCUCUUAGAGAUUUGGAGUUUUGAUAUUAUACUUGAUAUGGAUUGGCUAUCUUCUUAUCAUACCAGUAUGGAUUGGUAUAUAACAAAUGAUCAUUUUUUGCAUAUUUGAUCAGCCGAUCUUUUAUUUUAAGAGUAUUGGACAUGAUUUAUCUCCUUAUCUAAUGUAUCCCAGGAUGAUUUGCCCGAAUUACCUCUAAAACGUGACUUUGUUUUUUAUUUGGUCUUUGGGACAAUCCCAAUAUCUAAGCCUCUCUACAGAAUGACAUAAUUUGAGUAAGUAGAAUUACAGAAGCAACUACAAGAAUUAUUAGAUAAGGGUUUUAUACGACCCAGCGUAUCUCCAUGGGGUGCUCCGGUACUAUUAGUGAAGAAAAAGGAUGGAACAUUGAGGCUUUGUAUUGAUUAUAGACUGUUGAAUCAAGUGACCAUCAAAAAAAUAAGUAUCCCAUACCCAGAAUUGAUGAUUUGUUUGAUCAACUACAGGGUGCACAAGUAUUCUCUAAGAUUGACCUGAGGUUAGGUUACUAUUAGUUGAAGAUCAAGGAGAAGGAUAUUCCAAAAAUAGCUUUCAGAACUCGAUAUGGUCACUAUGAAUUCUUGGUGAUGCUUUUUGGUUUGACUAAUGCCCUUGCAGCUUUUAUGGAACUAAUGAAUAUGAUAUUUCAACUGCUCUUGGAUGGCUAUGUAAUUGUAUUUAUUGAUGACAUAUUGGUGUAUUCAAGGAGUAACCAGGAGCACGAGGAACACUUGAGAAAUGUAUUAUCCAUACUAAGAGAAAAGAAGUUUAUUGCAAAGUUGAAUAAAUGUGAAUUGUAGUUGAAUGAAGUUGCUUUCUUAGGCCAUGUGAUUUCAGGGAAGGGUAUAUCUGUUGAUCCAAAGAAAAUAGAAGCUAUAGUUGAAUGGGAAGUACCAACAAAUGUAAUAGAAAUUAGAAGCUUCUUGGGCAUGGCAGGUUAUUAUAGGAGAUUUGUGGAGGGAUUUCUCGAAUNNNNNNNNNNNNNNNNNNNNGGUAGUAAGGGAUUUGUAGUUUAUACUGAUGCUUCAAGAAAGGGUCUCGAAUAUGUUUUAAUGCAGGAAGGGAGAGUGAUUACUUAUGCUUCUAGACAACUAAAAAGUUAUGAACUGAAUUAUCCAACUCAUGAUUUGGAAUUGGCAAUAAUUGUUUUUGCUCUAAAGAUUUGGAGAGAUUAUUUGUAUGGUCGGCAAUUUGAAAUUUUGACUAAUCACAAGAGUUUGAAAUAUAUUUUCACUCAAAAAACUUAAACAUGAGGCAGCGAAGAUGGAUAGAACUUCUAAAGGAUUAUGAUUGUGUCAUCCGUUAUCACCCGGGCAAAGACAAUGUGGUAGCUGAUGCUCUUAGUAGAAAAUCUACAUGUUUUAUGGCUAGUCUGGUCGUGAAGCAAAGGAAGUUAUUAGAAGAAAAUUUUGAUUUGAAUGCUAUGAGAAAAGAGCAAGACUCAAUGAUAUUGAUAGCCUCCAUUUAGGUAUAAUCUGAUCUUAUUCAACAAAUUAAGGAAGGACAAUUACGAGAUCCACAUUUAAUCUACUUGAGGAAUGAAGUAGAAAAGGAAUUGAAGCCAAAAUUUCAAGUAACAAAUGAUGGCCUAUUGAGAUUUGGGAAUAGAGUGUGUUUACCAAAUGAACCAGAUAUCAAGAACCAAAUCCUAAAGGAAAGCCAUAAUUCAAAGUACACCAUGCAUCUUGGGAGCACUAAGAUGUAUAGAGAUCUCCAAAGUCAUUAUUGGUGGGAAGGCAUGAAGAAGGAAAUUGCAAUGUAUGUUUCAAAAUGUUUGACUUGUCAGCAAAUCAAAGUAGAACACCAAAGACUUGGAGGGUUGUUGCAACCUUUAGAUAUUCCAGAAUGGAAAUAGGAAUGUGUUACCAUGGAUUUUGUUUCAGGACUACUGAGAACCUCUAAAAAGCAUGAUGCUAUUUGGGUUAUCAUUGAUAGGUUAACAAAAUCUGUACAUUUCCUACCGAUUAAUAUGACUUAUUUUCUUGAUAGACUUGCAGAUUUAUAUGUCAAUAAAAUAGUAAGACUUCAUGGUAUUCCAAAGGAGAUCAUCUCGGAUAGAGAUUCUAGAUUUCUCUCUAGAUUCUGGAGAAGAUUAUAGGAAUCUAUGGGCACUAAAGUCAAGUUUAGUACUAAAUAUCAUCCUCAGACUGAUGGUCAGUUAGAAAGAACAAUUUAAACACUUGAGGAUUUACUUAGAUCCUAUGUUAUGGAUUGGAAAGGUGAAUGAGAUAAAGAUAUUUCACUUAUUGAGUUCACUUAUAAUAAUAGUUAUCAUUCAAGUAUUCGGAUGGCUCCUUAUGAAGCUUUAUAUGUGCGAAAGUGCAUAACACCUAUAUGUUGGGAGGAUGUUGGUGACAGAAAGUUGUUAGCACCAGACAAAGUACAAGAAACUACUGAAAAAAAAAUUCAAGUUAUAAGGAAAAGGUUAAAAACUGCUCAGAGUCAUCAAAAGAGUUAUGCUGACAAUAGAAGACGAGAUAUUGAGUUCGAGGUUGGAGAUUUUGUGUUCUUAAAGGUUUCUCCUUCCAAAGGCAUUAUAAGGUUUGGGAAGAAAGGAAAGUUAAGCCAAAGAUUUAUUGGACCUUUUGAGGUUCUUGAGAGGGUUGGUUCUGUCGCUUACAGGAUUGCCUUGCACAAUCAUUGUGCCAUAUCCAUAAUAUAUUUCAUGUUUCGAUGAUUAGAAAGUAUAUAUCUAAUCCUUCUCCUAUCAUUAAGUAUGAGCUAAUGGAGAUCGAUAAAGAUUUAUCUUAUGUGGAAGAGCCUAUUCAGAUUGUUGAUAAGAAAGAAAAGAUCCUAAGGAAUCGGGUCAUCCCUCUGGUUCAAGUAAUUUGGAGGCAUCAUUCUGGAGAGGAAACAACCUGGGAGCUAGAGAAGGAAAUGAAAAAGGUUUAUCCCCAUCUUUUCAUCGAUAGAGGUAUGAUAAAUUUAGAGGACUAAAAUUUUCUUUUGAGGGGGGGAGAGUGUAACAUCCCUCAUUUCUGAAUUUUCGUAUAAGUUUCUAGUUGUAAUGUACGUAUCUAUUUUAAAUUUGAUAAAAGAGCCAAAGUAUAAAUCUGAGAAUUUAUUCAUAAGAUUUGGGGGAUUUGUUCAAAAAGAAAAAAAAAAAUCUGAGGACCUAUAUGUAAACCCUGAGGACCUAAUCGUAAAUAUAAUAAUACAAGGACUAAACUGCAAAAUACACAAAAAAUACAAAUCCCAUCGUUUAAGCCUCUCUGCCUUCAUUCUUAAGGAACCAGAGAAGGCAACUGCGUGGAAGAACAGAGAAAGAAAGAAAGAAGAAGAGAAAAAAAAUGGGGAAAAAGAAGAAGAAAAAAUUGGGGCUUUGAGGUUUCUUACUCAAAUCAUCUCAAUUGGGGUCAUAAUUCUCAAAGGCAAGUGUUCUAACCCUAUCCUACAGAAGUAUUAGUCUCUAUUCAUAUAUUGAUUCUGAAAUAUUUCUGCUUAGAACCUGAUAUUCUCUCUUUGGACAUAAAACCAAGGAUCUGGAAUUUUUUUUCGGUAAACUGUUCCCUAUACACUGUUUUAGGCAGGACCUAGCUCGUUUGAAAUUAGAUUCUUAUAUCUUUCUUUUGACACUGAUUUUGUAGAAUUUGGACACCGAAUACUUAUCUAAACGUCUGUUUCAAAUGAGUCUAUAUAUGCUGCAGAACAGGGAUCAAAAUUUUUGACCUUUCGAUACUAAAAUACCUAUAAGUCCCUGUUGGAAAUUUUGAUUUGUACCAAACUGACUUCAUUCAAAACUAAACUUGCAGACCUUUCUUUUAACAUAUAGAUUGAAAAAUUUAGAAUUCAAAUACCUAUCCUAUCAUCUAUUGAAUCCGACCCUAUGAAUUCUGUAAAACAGUGAUUUUGUUUUUGACCUUGUGUUACCAAAUCAAAGGUAACUCCUUGUUGGAAACCAUGAUUCGUACGAAGUUUGUUUCAUCAGAAAAUAGAUUGGUAUAUCUUUCAACAAUAGCCUUCUUAAGGGUAUUGGAGCAUAAUUAACAAUCUGAAGUAUUUAUCCAAUGUGCCUCUCGAAUUCUGUCUGAAAUCGAGCUUUGAUCGAUUUCGCAUCUUCUGUUUUCAUUCGUUUGGAAAUAGAUUUUAUUCAGUUCCCUUCAAUCAAUUGUGGCUUAUAUUAAUGCUUGAAUUCUUGUUUGAUCUUGUCUAUAAAUUAUUUCCAUUCCUGAACAUAUUGUGUAGCGUUUAUGCUAUAUCACAUUGACUUAUAUAGGCACAUGUAUAUCCCAUUGUUCCGCAUUUGCUUUUGAUAUGUGCCUAUUCUAGUUUCAUUCCUUUGGAUAUCGAAUUCAUCUAACCUUCUUAUUUGGAGUUGUAUGUGAUUGCUUGGAUUCCGUGUGUGCCCUUGCUUUCAUUUCCUUUCAAGUCUGAUUACAAUGGUGAAAGAUUAUUGAUUACUUCGUAUUGACUCGUAAAGGCACAUGUACAUUUGGUUGUUCCGCGUGUGCUUCCGAUAUGUGCUAUUCAUUGUUCAUACUAUCCUUUUGUACUCUGGUGUUUGUGGGAUAUUGUGAACCUUCGCUAGAAAUUGUGAAGGGAGUUAUGCAUAGAGCCUGAGAUGCUUUGUCGGCUCCUCUGACUUCACUCAAACGUGGGUGGAUGGAGCUCCCAGACGUGGGAGACCUCCCAGACGUGGGAGACUUAUGUUUGGUGGUCAUUCAGAAAUGGAUGUACCAUAUUAUGUUAUGGUCCCACUUCACCUUCUGUAUGCUUGAUAUGGUAUCCAGAGCUUUGGUUAUGUGUUUCUAUACAUGCUUUGGAUAUGAAUGAUAUGAAUGCAACGUCAAAUUCGACAUUUGAGCUUCUGUUUCGUAUUCAUCUUUGAAAUGCUCUGAAAUGGUCCAUACGCCAUUGAUA
RNAcentral lists this long non-coding RNA (6996 nucleotides) under Musa acuminata (dwarf banana). RNAcentral's name for it is "long non-coding RNA (MACU_LNC005239)". The record is from RNAcentral. Lineage: Eukaryota; Viridiplantae; Streptophyta; Magnoliopsida; Zingiberales; Musaceae.